This 1322-nucleotide long non-coding RNA is filed under the name Homo sapiens (human). Its description in RNAcentral is "HSALNT0300914". The record is from RNAcentral. Lineage: Eukaryota; Metazoa; Chordata; Mammalia; Primates; Hominidae.
CCAGGACGCUGGCACAGGGAAGGAGCCUAGGCAUCGGGCUGAAGGCCAGACAGAAGAAUCAGGGCUCAUCAGCACAUCUGUGGAAUGUUUAUUUCUGUGUUUCCAGCUCAGGACUAGAUGGCUGGAAACUACAUAUUGACUCAUUAUCUUCAGAGCCAUGAAUGAGAUGUGGUCCCUGCUCUCAAAGUAUUUACUGCCCCUCUGGAAAGCAGGACAUGGGUGUAGGAAAGGAGAAGGUGCACAGGAUAAGAUGUCGUAUGAGUUGGACUUCUGGAGCCUGGGUAUGGGAUGAUCUCUCUGAUCCCUGUGAACAUCAUCAGGUCUGCUUGGCUGUGGCACCUGCUGGAGCCAGAAGGGUAGCCCCAGCCUUAGCAUCACUCUAGCGGCUCUGAGUGUUUGUAGAUCCUGCCAUGGCUAGGAUCUUGUUCCAGCCCUGUUUCUGGGACUCCUCUACUACCACAGCCUGCUGGCCCACAGACCUCCUUCUCCUCUGCAUCCCGGUGGUCCUGACUCAGACCUUCUACAUUGUCACUUAGCAUUCACAACUCGCCAUUGAUCAAUGUCCCCCUUGGGAUCCUGUCUCACCAGGAGAACAAGUUGUACCAGCCUGUGCCCUUGGAUGCCAUUCCAGGCAGCAAUUCUGAAGACAGCUCUGGGGCUCCUCAGGUCUCUCUGCAGUGCUCCUCCUUCCCCUCUGCCUCCACUGCCCCAUCUCACCAGCCCUCCCCACCAACAUUUCCUCCAAGCCUCAACAAGUCACCCAAGAGUAUUCUAAGGUCCCUGCUGGUCUAUCUGACAAUAUGCAGAUAGGCCUUGGUUGCCUUGGCUGGCUGUGACCUUGCUGACAUCUAUAGACAGAGAGGUGGGAAUGAAAGACACAUUACUCCUGGAUGUUGGUGGAGAAGGUGGUGGUUGCAGUUGCUACGCAAGAGUCACCAGGCUGCAGACUCUGUCCACUUCUGAGAGUGCAAUGUCCCCUGUGAUUGGCUGGGAUUUCUGAGCUUUUCAGCUUGCAUAUGGUGAGAAUGUUGGCACACCGCAGCCCUGAGGGCCUGGGCUUUGGACUCCGGCAGUCCCACAUGUGUGUGCUACCUCUGCCGCUCUCUGGUUGUAUGAAGUCAAGCAAUGUCUGUAACCUCACUGAGUCACAGCGCUCUGCUCUGUAGAAUGGAGAUGGGAUCCUCUCUACCUCCUGCAGUGUCUGUGAAUGCCAUAACACAAGCCAGAGUGCUGAGCACCGUGCCCACCCUAGAAGAGGGCUCGGUGUAUAGUAGCAGCUCUUAAUGCUCCCAGGAUGCCUAAUAAAUUCUUUCAGAAAAGUA